GAUGAACGCUGGGGGCGUGCCUAAUACAUGCAAGUCGAGCGGAAAGGCCUCUUCGGAGGUACUCGAGCGGCGGACGGCUGAGUAACACGUAGGAACAUACCCCAAAGUGAGGGAUAAGCACCGGAAACGGUGUCUAAUACCGCAUGUGCUCUAAGGAGUAAAGCUUCGGCGCUUUGGGAAUGGCCUGCGCAUGAUUAGCUUGUUGGUGAGGUAAUGGCUCACCAAGGCGACGAUCAUUAGCUGGUCUGAGAGGAUGAUCAGCCAGACUGGGACUGGGACACGGCCCAGACUCCUACGGGAGGCAGCAGUAGGGAAUGUUCCACAAUGGGCGAAAGCCUGAUGGAGCAACGCCGCGUGCAGGAUGAAUGCCUUAGGGUUGUAAACUGCUUUUAUAUGUGACGAAUAUGACGGUAGCAUAUGAAUAAGGAUCGGCUAACUCCGUGCCAGCCGCCGCGGUAA
Molecule: ribosomal RNA, 459 nt
Filed under: uncultured bacterium
Lineage: Bacteria
Description: partial 16S ribosomal RNA
Rfam family: Bacterial small subunit ribosomal RNA
Source: RNAcentral